AUUGAACGCUGGCGGCAUGCCUUACACAUGCAAGUCGAACGGCAGCACGGGAGCAAUCCUGGUGGCGAGUGGCGAACGGGUGAGUAAUGUAUCGGAACGUGCCCAGUCGUGGGGGAUAACGUAGCGAAAGCUACGCUAAUACCGCAUACGAUCUAUGGAUGAAAGCGGGGGAUCGCAAGACCUCGCGCGAUUGGAGCGGCCGAUAUCAGAUUAGGUAGUUGGUGGGGUAAAGGCUCACCAAGCCGACGAUCUGUAGCUGGUCUGGGAGGACGACCAGCCACACUGGGACUGAGACACGGCCCAGACUCCUACGGGAGGCAGCAGUGGGGAAUUUUGGACAAUGGGCGCAAGCCUGAUCCAGCAAUGCCGCGUGCAGGAUGAAGGCCUUCGGGUUGUAAACUGCUUUUGUACGGAACGAAACGGUGAGCUCUAAUACAGUUUGCUAAUGACGGUACCGUAAGAAUGAGCACCGGCUAACUACGUGCCAGCCGCCGCAGUAA
RNAcentral lists this ribosomal RNA (500 nucleotides) under uncultured bacterium. Its description in RNAcentral is "partial 16S ribosomal RNA". It matches the Rfam family "Bacterial small subunit ribosomal RNA", at positions 30 to 523 of the family's 1533-position model. The record is from RNAcentral.